UACAGAGGGUGCAAACGUUGUUCGGAAUUACUGGGCGUAAAGCGCGUGUAGGCUGCUCUGCAAGUCGGAUGUGAAAGCCCUGGGCUCAACCUAGGAAGUGCAUUCGAAACUGCAGAGCUGGAGUCCUGGAGAGGAAGGCGGAAUUCUCGGUGUAGAGGUGAAAUUCGUAGAUAUCGAGAGGAACACCGGUGGCGAAGGCGGCCUUCUGGACAGUGACUGACGCUGAGACGCGAAAGCGUGGGGAGCAAACAGG
This 253-nucleotide ribosomal RNA is filed under the name uncultured bacterium. RNAcentral's name for it is "partial 16S ribosomal RNA". It matches the Rfam family "Bacterial small subunit ribosomal RNA", at positions 524 to 776 of the family's 1533-position model. The record is from RNAcentral.